This 284-nucleotide ribosomal RNA is filed under the name uncultured microorganism. Its description in RNAcentral is "partial 16S ribosomal RNA". It matches the Rfam family "Archaeal small subunit ribosomal RNA", at positions 330 to 618 of the family's 1478-position model. The record is from RNAcentral.
GUGCAGCAGGCGAGAAUACUUUACAAUGUGCGAAAGCACGAUAAGGGAACUCUGAGUGCCUCCUAAGGAGGCUGUUCAGGUGUCUAAAAAGCACCUGAAGGAAGGGCUGGGUAAGACCGGUGCCAGCCGCCGCGGUAACACCGGCAGCCCCAAGUGGUAGCCACGUUUAUUGGGUCUAAAGCGUCCGUAGCCGGCUGGGUAAGUUCCUUGGGAAAUUUGGCUGCUUAACAGUCAAGCUUUCAGGGAAUACUGCCCGGCUUGGGACCGGGAGAGGUCAGAGGUAC